RNAcentral lists this ribosomal RNA (301 nucleotides) under uncultured bacterium. RNAcentral's name for it is "partial 16S ribosomal RNA". It matches the Rfam family "Bacterial small subunit ribosomal RNA", at positions 509 to 807 of the family's 1533-position model. The record is from RNAcentral.
CAGUAGCCGCGGUAAUACGAAGGGGGCUAGCGUUGCUCGGAAUGACUGGGCGUAAAGGGCGCGUAGGCGGCGAUCAAAGUCAGGCGUGAAAUUCCUGGGCUCAACCUGGGGGCUGCGUUUGAUACUUGAUUGCUAGAGUGGGGAAGAGGGUCGUGGAAUUCCCAGUGUAGAGGUGAAAUUCGUAGAUAUUGGGAAGAGCACCGGUGGCGAAGGCGGCGACCUGGUCCUUGACUGACGCUGAGGCGCGAAAGCGUGGGGAGCAAACAGGAUUAGAUACCCCCGUAGUCCCUGUCUCUUAUAC